UUAAGCGACUAAGCGUACACGGUGGAUGCCCUGGCAGUCAGAGGCGAUGAAGGACGUGCUAAUCUGCGAAAAGCGUCGGUAAGGUGAUAUGAACCGUUAUAACCGGCGAUGUCCGAAUGGGGAAACCCAGUGCAAUUCGUUGCACUAUCGUUAACUGAAUACAUAGGUUAACGAGGCGAACCGGGGGAACUGAAACAUCUAAGUACCCCGAGGAAAAGAAAUCAACCGAGAUUCCCCCAGUAGCGGCGAGCGAACGGGGAGCAGCCCAGAGUCUGAAUCAGCUUGUGUGUUAGUGGAACGGUCUGGAAAGUCCGACGGUACAGGGUGAUAGUCCCGUACACCAAAAUGCACAGGCUGUGAACUCGAAGAGUAGGGCGGGACACGUGGUAUCCUGUCUGAAUAUGGGGGGACCAUCCUCCAAGGCUAAAUACUCCUGACUGACCGAUAGUGAACCAGUACCGUGAGGGAAAGGCGAAAAGAACCCCGGCGAGGGGAGUGAAAAAGAACCUGAAACCGUGUACGUACAAGCAGUGGGAGCACCUUCGGGUGUGACUGCGUACCUUUUGUAUAAUGGGUCAGCGACUUAUAUUCUGUAGCAAGGUUAACCGUAUAGGGGAGCCGCAGGGAAACCGAGUCUUAACUGGGCGUUAAGUUGCAGGGUAUAGACCCGAAACCCGGUGAUCUAGCCAUGGGCAGGUUGAAGGUUGGGUAACACUAACUGGAGGACCGAACCGACUAAUGUUGAAAAAUUAGCGGAUGACUUGUGGCUGGGGGUGAAAGGCCAAUCAAACCGGGAGAUAGCUGGUUCUCCCCGAAAGCUAUUUAGGUAGCGCCUCGUGAACUCAUCUUCGGGGGUAGAGCACUGUUUCGGCUAGGGGGUCAUCCCGACUUACCAACCCGAUGCAAACUACGAAUACCGAAGAAUGUUAUCACGGGAGACACACGGCGGGUGCUAACGUCCGUCGUGAAGAGGGAAACAACCCAGACCGCCAGCUAAGGUCCCAAAGUCAUGGUUAAGUGGGAAACGAUGUGGGAAGGCACAGACAGCCAGGAUGUUGGCUUAGAAGCAGCCAUCAUUUAAAGAAAGCGUAAUAGCUCACUGGUCGAGUCGGCCUGCGCGGAAGAUGUAACGGGGCUAAACCAUGCACCGAAGCUGCGGCAGCGACACUAUGUGUUGUUGGGUAGGGGAGCGUUCUGUAAGCCUGCGAAGGUGUGCUGUGAGGCAUGCUGGAGGUAUCAGAAGUGCGAAUGCUGACAUAAGUAACGAUAAAGCGGGUGAAAAGCCCGCUCGCCGGAAGACCAAGGGUUCCUGUCCAACGUUAAUCGGGGCAGGGUGAGUCGACCCCUAAGGCGAGGCCGAAAGGCGUAGUCGAUGGGAAACAGGUUAAUAUUCCUGUACUUGGUGUUACUGCGAAGGGGGGACGGAGAAGGCUAUGUUAGCCGGGCGACGGUUGUCCCGGUUUAAGCAUGUAGGCUGAUUGUCCAGGCAAAUCCGGAUAAUCAAGGCUGAGGUGUGAUGACGAGGCACUACGGUGCUGAAGUAACAAAUGCCCUGCUUCCAGGAAAAGCCUCUAAGCAUCAGGUAACAUCAAAUCGUACCCCAAACCGACACAGGUGGUCAGGUAGAGAAUACCAAGGCGCUUGAGAGAACUCGGGUGAAGGAACUAGGCAAAAUGGUGCCGUAACUUCGGGAGAAGGCACGCUGGUGUGGUGAAGUCCCUGCGGAUGGAGCUGAGACCAGUCGAAGAUACCAGCUGGCUGCAACUGUUUAUUAAAAACACAGCACUGUGCAAACACGAAAGUGGACGUAUACGGUGUGACGCCUGCCCGGUGCCGGAAGGUUAAUUGAUGGGGUUAUCCGUAAGGAGAAGCUCUUGAUCGAAGCCCCGGUAAACGGCGGCCGUAACUAUAACGGUCCUAAGGUAGCGAAAUUCCUUGUCGGGUAAGUUCCGACCUGCACGAAUGGCGUAAUGAUGGCCAGGCUGUCUCCACCCGAGACUCAGUGAAAUUGAACUCGCUGUGAAGAUGCAGUGUACCCGCGGCAAGACGGAAAGACCCCGUGAACCUUUACUAUAGCUUGACACUGAACAUUGAGCCUUGAUGUGUAGGAUAGGUGGGAGGCUUUGAAGCGUGGACGCCAGUCUGCGUGGAGCCAACCUUGAAAUACCACCCUUUAAUGUUUGAUGUUCUAACGUUGGCCCCUGACCGGGGUUGCGGACAGUGUCUGGUGGGUAGUUUGACUGGGGCGGUCUCCUCCCAAAGCGUAACGGAGGAGCACGAAGGUUAGCUAAUCCUGGUCGGACAUCAGGAGGUUAGUGCAAUGGCAUAAGCUAGCUUGACUGCGAGCGUGACGGCGCGAGCAGGUGCGAAAGCAGGUCAUAGUGAUCCGGUGGUUCUGAAUGGAAGGGCCAUCGCUCAACGGAUAAAAGGUACUCCGGGGAUAACAGGCUGAUACCGCCCAAGAGUUCAUAUCGACGGCGGUGUUUGGCACCUCGAUGUCGGCUCAUCACAUCCUGGGGCUGAAGUAGGUCCCAAGGGUAUGGCUGUUCGCCAUUUAAAGUGGUACGCGAGCUGGGUUUAGAACGUCGUGAGACAGUUCGGUCCCUAUCUGCCGUGGGCGCUGGAGAAUUGAGGGGGGCUGCUCCUAGUACGAGAGGACCGGAGUGGACGCAUCACUGGUGUUCGGGUUGUCAUGCCAAUGGCACUGCCCGGUAGCUAAAUGCGGAAGAGAUAAGUGCUGAAAGCAUCUAAGCACGAAACUUGCCCCGAGAUGAGUUCUCCCUGAGACUUUAAGUCUCCUGAAGGAACGUUAAAGACGAUGACGUUGAUAGGCCGGGUGUGUAAGCGCAGCGAUGCGUUGAGCUAACCGGUACUAAUGAACCGUGAGGCUUAACCU
This 2896-nucleotide ribosomal RNA is filed under the name Klebsiella pneumoniae. RNAcentral describes it as "bacterial LSU rRNA". It matches the Rfam family "Bacterial large subunit ribosomal RNA". Lineage: Bacteria; Pseudomonadati; Pseudomonadota; Gammaproteobacteria; Enterobacterales; Enterobacteriaceae. The record is from RNAcentral.